ACUCUGCCUCGUGCAGAGAGUGGGAGGCCGGGAAGUUGUUCAAACUUGAUCAUUUAGAGGAAGUAAAAGUCGUAACAAGGUUUCCGUAGGUGAACCUGCGGAAGGAUCAUUACCGAGUAGCUACCUACCUCCGCUGGCCGCGAGUCAGUGAAUGAGUGGGGUGUUUACUACCGUGUGAACCGACUGAAAAAUUUUUUAGGGGUCGGCUCGUUCCGUUAAAAGGGGAGCACCGUGAUGAGCCACCAACCGGCUGGCUGGUGAGCCUCGCGGUGGGCUCCUGCCCCGACAGUGUUUUUUAAAAGGACACAUUUGAUGUAAAAGACUGAGCGCAGUGAGAGAGAUAUGUUCUAACAUAGAAAAAUAAAAGUGUGACAACUUUUGACGGUGGAUCUCUAGGCUCACGCAUCGAUGAAGAACGCAGCCAGCUGCGAUAAGUAGUGUGAAUUGCAGAAUUCAGUGAAUCAUCGAAUCUU
Molecule: unclassified non-coding RNA, 473 nt
Filed under: Stylophora sp. D RA-2016
Lineage: Eukaryota; Metazoa; Cnidaria; Anthozoa; Scleractinia; Pocilloporidae
Description: sequence contains ITS1
Rfam family: 5.8S ribosomal RNA (bases 374-473)
Source: RNAcentral